GUCGAACGCUGGCGGCAGGCUUAACACAUGCAAGUCGAACGAGUGGCGGACGGGUGAGUAAUGUUUGGGAAUCCGGCUUAUGGAGGGGGACAACGACGGGAAACUGUCUCUAAUACCCCGUACCCUAGUGUGAGCCCAAGUGGGAUUAGUUAGUUGGUGGGGCAAUGGCCUACCAAGCCCACGACCUCUAGCUGGUCUGAGAGGAUGACCAGCCACACGGGGACUAAGACACGACCCGGACUCCUACGGGGGGCAGCAGGGGGGAAUAUUGCGCAAUGGGGGCAACCUGACGCAGCCAUGCCGCGUGAAUGAAGAAGGCCUUCGGGUUGUAAAGUUCUUUCGGUGAGGAGGCGUUAAUCACAGAAGAAGCACCGGCUAACUCCGUGCCAGCAGCCGCGGUAAUUC
RNAcentral lists this ribosomal RNA (405 nucleotides) under uncultured bacterium. RNAcentral's name for it is "partial 16S ribosomal RNA". It matches the Rfam family "Bacterial small subunit ribosomal RNA", at positions 28 to 526 of the family's 1533-position model. The record is from RNAcentral.